UUAAGCGACUAAGCGUACACGGUGGAUGCCCUGGCAGUCAGAGGCGAUGAAGGACGUGCUAAUCUGCGAUAAGCGUCGGUAAGGUGAUAUGAACCGUUAUAACCGGCGAUUUCCGAAUGGGGAAACCCAGUGUGUUUCGACACACUAUCAUUAACUGAAUCCAUAGGUUAAUGAGGCGAACCGGGGGAACUGAAACAUCUAAGUACCCCGAGGAAAAGAAAUCAACCGAGAUUCCCCCAGUAGCGGCGAGCGAACGGGGAGCAGCCCAGAGCCUGAAUCAGUGUGUGUGUUAGUGGAAGCGUCUGGAAAGGCGCGCGAUACAGGGUGACAGCCCCGUACACAAAAAUGCACAUGCUGUGAGCUCGAUGAGUAGGGCGGGACACGUGGUAUCCUGUCUGAAUAUGGGGGGACCAUCCUCCAAGGCUAAAUACUCCUGACUGACCGAUAGUGAACCAGUACCGUGAGGGAAAGGCGAAAAGAACCCCGGCGAGGGGAGUGAAAAAGAACCUGAAACCGUGUACGUACAAGCAGUGGGAGCACGCUUAGGCGUGUGACUGCGUACCUUUUGUAUAAUGGGUCAGCGACUUAUAUUCUGUAGCAAGGUUAACCGAAUAGGGGAGCCGAAGGGAAACCGAGUCUUAACUGGGCGUUAAGUUGCAGGGUAUAGACCCGAAACCCGGUGAUCUAGCCAUGGGCAGGUUGAAGGUUGGGUAACACUAACUGGAGGACCGAACCGACUAAUGUUGAAAAAUUAGCGGAUGACUUGUGGCUGGGGGUGAAAGGCCAAUCAAACCGGGAGAUAGCUGGUUCUCCCCGAAAGCUAUUUAGGUAGCGCCUCGUGAAUUCAUCUCCGGGGGUAGAGCACUGUUUCGGCAAGGGGGUCAUCCCGACUUACCAACCCGAUGCAAACUGCGAAUACCGGAGAAUGUUAUCACGGGAGACACACGGCGGGUGCUAACGUCCGUCGUGAAGAGGGAAACAACCCAGACCGCCAGCUAAGGUCCCAAAGUCAUGGUUAAGUGGGAAACGAUGUGGGAAGGCCCAGACAGCCAGGAUGUUGGCUUAGAAGCAGCCAUCAUUUAAAGAAAGCGUAAUAGCUCACUGGUCGAGUCGGCCUGCGCGGAAGAUGUAACGGGGCUAAACCAUGCACCGAAGCUGCGGCAGCGACGCUGAUGCGUUGUUGGGUAGGGGAGCGUUCUGUAAGCCUGCGAAGGUGUGCUGUGAGGCAUGCUGGAGGUAUCAGAAGUGCGAAUGCUGACAUAAGUAACGAUAAAGCGGGUGAAAAGCCCGCUCGCCGGAAGACCAAGGGUUCCUGUCCAACGUUAAUCGGGGCAGGGUGAGUCGACCCCUAAGGCGAGGCCGAAAGGCGUAGUCGAUGGGAAACAGGUUAAUAUUCCUGUACUUGGUGUUACUGCGAAGGGGGGACGGAGAAGGCUAUGUUGGCCGGGCGACGGUUGUCCCGGUUUAAGCGUGUAGGCUGGUUUUCCAGGCAAAUCCGGAAAAUCAAGGCUGAGGCGUGAUGACGAGGCACUACGGUGCUGAAGCAACAAAUGCCCUGCUUCCAGGAAAAGCCUCUAAGCAUCAGGUAACAUCAAAUCGUACCCCAAACCGACACAGGUGGUCAGGUAGAGAAUACCAAGGCGCUUGAGAGAACUCGGGUGAAGGAACUAGGCAAAAUGGUGCCGUAACUUCGGGAGAAGGCACGCUGAUAUGUAGGUGAAGUCCCUCGCGGAUGGAGCUGAAAUCAGUCGAAGAUACCAGCUGGCUGCAACUGUUUAUUAAAAACACAGCACUGUGCAAACACGAAAGUGGACGUAUACGGUGUGACGCCUGCCCGGUGCCGGAAGGUUAAUUGAUGGGGUUAGCCGCAAGGCGAAGCUCUUGAUCGAAGCCCCGGUAAACGGCGGCCGUAACUAUAACGGUCCUAAGGUAGCGAAAUUCCUUGUCGGGUAAGUUCCGACCUGCACGAAUGGCGUAAUGAUGGCCAGGCUGUCUCCACCCGAGACUCAGUGAAAUUGAACUCGCUGUGAAGAUGCAGUGUACCCGCGGCAAGACGGAAAGACCCCGUGAACCUUUACUAUAGCUUGACACUGAACAUUGAGCCUUGAUGUGUAGGAUAGGUGGGAGGCUUGGAAGUGUGGACGCCAGUCUGCAUGGAGCCGACCUUGAAAUACCACCCUUUAAUGUUUGAUGUUCUAACGUUGACCCGUAAUCCGGGUUGCGGACAGUGUCUGGUGGGUAGUUUGACUGGGGCGGUCUCCUCCUAAAGAGUAACGGAGGAGCACGAAGGUUGGCUAAUCCUGGUCGGACAUCAGGAGGUUAGUGCAAUGGCAUAAGCCAGCUUGACUGCGAGCGUGACGGCGCGAGCAGGUGCGAAAGCAGGUCAUAGUGAUCCGGUGGUUCUGAAUGGAAGGGCCAUCGCUCAACGGAUAAAAGGUACUCCGGGGAUAACAGGCUGAUACCGCCCAAGAGUUCAUAUCGACGGCGGUGUUUGGCACCUCGAUGUCGGCUCAUCACAUCCUGGGGCUGAAGUAGGUCCCAAGGGUAUGGCUGUUCGCCAUUUAAAGUGGUACGCGAGCUGGGUUUAGAACGUCGUGAGACAGUUCGGUCCCUAUCUGCCGUGGGCGCUGGAGAACUGAGGGGGGCUGCUCCUAGUACGAGAGGACCGGAGUGGACGCAUCACUGGUGUUCGGGUUGUCAUGCCAAUGGCACUGCCCGGUAGCUAAAUGCGGAAGAGAUAAGUGCUGAAAGCAUCUAAGCACGAAACUUGCCCCGAGAUGAGUUCUCCCUGACCCUUUAAGGGUCCUGAAGGAACGUUGAAGACGACGACGUUGAUAGGCCGGGUGUGUAAGCGCAGCGAUGCGUUGAGCUAACCGGUACUAAUGAACCGUGAGGCUUAACCUU
RNAcentral lists this ribosomal RNA (2904 nucleotides) under Escherichia coli 3-073-06_S1_C2. Its description in RNAcentral is "bacterial LSU rRNA". It matches the Rfam family "Bacterial large subunit ribosomal RNA". Lineage: Bacteria; Pseudomonadati; Pseudomonadota; Gammaproteobacteria; Enterobacterales; Enterobacteriaceae. The record is from RNAcentral.